CUGGGUCAUACUUAUUGGUCUUUGGUCUGCAUCUUCUGCAGGGACUGGAUUUAUCACCUUACUUUCUUGCUGUUGCUCAAUUUAAGGAAAAGAGAAGCAACCAGAGAAAAGAUCCAAUCAGGUGGAUACAUGGAAAUGGUGAAAACACAGGCUUGCCUUCAAAAUCUUUUGACCUUGUCUCAGUUGCUUAUGUGGUAUGUUGUGUUUUCUUGAAAACUUAAAAACUAAAUUACAUUUGUAAUUAGCUUUCAAGAGAAACUCAAUGCAGAUAUGACUAAUACAAGCCCCCCCCCCCCCCCCCCCCCAACAAAUAUUGUAUUAUUAUUUUUAUAUGAAACACAUCAAUUUUUCUUUUGUUGAGUGAUGAUGCGAUUGAAAGGAUAUGAACAUAGAAAAGAUAUGAAAUGAGAGAUGAUUUAAUUUUCUAUUAUUGAAACGUAAUCCUGCUUAUAGUUUUUUUGCCCAAUCCAUGCUAACUUUGGAUAGAAAAUUCUUCCUAUGGCAAUUUGUUGAAAAUCAUAUUCUCACGUCCACUAACAUGGCUAUUUCCUUGAAUAAAUUCAGGAAAUGAGUAUUGUGCAGAGAAUCUUAUUACACUAGCAAGGGAAGAUUUACAUCAAUAUAAAUCUUGUGAUAUUCAUGUUUUGACUUUUACUAUUGGCGCUUCGGUAAUUGGCUAAUUUGGAAGCUAGAAUAUCUCGUACAGUAAGAAAAUAUGCCAUACUAAAAGUUUCUCCUUGGUCAGAGUAUGAACUCCAUCUGAAGAAUAACGGAAAGGAAACUUCCCUAUCAGGAUAUGGUCAAGCUUUCCAUAUUAUUUUCAUUGACUUGUGGAAAAAAGAUAUUUUACGUGCAUGUUAUCAUUUACAUGGUUUGAUCCGUCUCAUAACAAAAGAAGUGGAUAAAUUGCUAUAAUUGAGUUAAAAAAGAAAAAAGAAAAAAAAGAAAAAACAACUUGUAAAAGUAGUUAUAGUACUUGUCUUUCCUUGAGUGGUAAAAGUAGGACGUCAACCUUAUAUGUUAACACAAGGGGUUGAAGUCUAGAAUAGGGAAGAAAACGGGCUCUACUUAUAAUUUUUUCCAACUCCAUGUAUUUAUUGAUAGUGGUUGGCUAUGAGAUCUUAUGGAACAACGUUCGUAGCUUGAUUCUUGGCAGCUUUUGGAGACCUUUUUUAAAGCAUGUAUUCCUUUCCCUGACUCUGUUGUGCUGUUGCAGUUUCACGAGUGCCCUGAAAGAGCAAUUAAAAAUAUAGUGAAGGAAGCAUUUCGGCUUCUUCGACCUGGAGGCACUUUUGCUGUGACUGAUAACUCGGUAAAUAGCUUUAGAAUAUUGCAAAUAGUGUUCAUCUUUUAUAUAAUGUAAUAAUAUAUCAUACCAGACCAUUUCUUACAUUACUUUCCUUUUGUUCUCUUUUGCAGCCAAAAUCAAAGAUUCUUCAGGUAUGUUUUGUUUGUUGCUUUGUCAAGUUUUCUUUUGGCUUUUCUUCAUCAUGUGAUCAAGCUUUCCAUUAUCACUCAUGAUGAAAACAUCUGGAUCUCGCUUUUCUAUAUUCUUAGACCAAAAGGGAACAAUGGUCGGAAGAUGGUGACAUUUUGGAAACAUUGCGUAAACCUGAAAAUAUUUAAUCAUGGGAGCAUCAGCAACCUUUUAUGAAUGGAAUAUGAAAUCCUUACAGUUCUAGACUAACUGAGUUAGCGUCCUUAAUGUUCACGUAUUACAGGAACUAUCACCGGUGUUAUUUACAUUGAUGAAGAGCACUGAACCUUUUCUGGACGAAUACUACCUUACGGAUCUUGAAGGUAGCAUGCGAGAAAUUGGUUUUGUCAACGUGCAGACUAUUAUGACAGAUCCAAGACACAGAACUGUAACUGCCACUGUGCCUUACUGAUAUGUGUCAUCCUCUUGAGUGUGCUCAUGGAGAUCAUGAAACCAUUAUAGGAACAAGAAAUUUCUUGAAUUCAUGCCCUAAUAUUUUAUGUACACACUUGCAUAUUGCAAGUAUAGAUUGACGAGAAAAUGUUAAUUUUGUAACGAGGCAGAAAUGCUGGUGGAGAAUAGUUCGAUGCAAUGUCAGUUUCUGAUGAAAGAAAGUUUUCAUAUUAUACAAAG
This 2110-nucleotide long non-coding RNA is filed under the name Olea europaea subsp. europaea. Lineage: Eukaryota; Viridiplantae; Streptophyta; Magnoliopsida; Lamiales; Oleaceae. The record is from RNAcentral.